RNAcentral lists this ribosomal RNA (831 nucleotides) under Caprithrips melanophthalmus. RNAcentral describes it as "partial large subunit ribosomal RNA". It matches the Rfam family "Eukaryotic large subunit ribosomal RNA", at positions 1119 to 1886 of the family's 3401-position model. The record is from RNAcentral. Lineage: Eukaryota; Metazoa; Arthropoda; Insecta; Thysanoptera; Thripidae.
GUGCCCAGUGGGCCAUUUUUGGUAAGCAGAACUGGUGCUGUGGGAUGAACCAAACGCAGAGUUAAAGCGCCUAAAUGGAAGCUGAUGGGAAACCAUGAAAGGCGUUGGUUGCUUAAGACAGCAGGACGGUGGCCAUGGAAGUCGGAAUCCGCUAAGGAGUGUGUAACAACUCACCUGCCGAAGCAACUAGCUCUGAAAAUGGAUGGCGCUGAAGCUUCCUGCUUAUACUCUGCCGUCAGGGCAGAGGAGCGGGCCUUUCGGUCCGCUCGUGAAGCUCUGAUGAGUAGGAGGGCGCGCCGGUGUGCGCAGAAGCGAUGGGCGUAGGCCCGCGUGGAGCCGCCGGUGGUGCAGAUCUUGGUGGUAGUAGCAAAUACUCUGGAGAGGCCCCGGACGACUGGUGUGGAGAAGGGUUUCGCGUCAACAGUUGUUGAACGCGAGUAAGUCGAUCCUGAGCCCUAGGGGAAACCCGAUGUUGAUGGUCGUGCCUUGACAUCAUUCCUGGCCGACCGUCGGGCGAAAGGGAAUGCGGUUUCGAUUCCGCAACCCAGACUACGGAUGCGCCUAGCGGGCCCUCAUACCCGUCACGGUGACGUGACUAACCCCGGAGAAGCCCUCGGGUACGGUCAGAAGAGUUAUCUUUUCUCUGUAAGCACGCACGCUCCCUGGAAGCAUCUCGCAUGGAGAUAGGGAGUAGCGGGCGAAGAGCGCCGCACUUGUGGCGGUGUUGAACCGUAUCCCCUGGGACCUUGAAAAUCCGGGCGAGGGCCACGUGGACUCCGAGCUGGCUCGUACCGAUAUCCGCAUCAGGUCUCCGAGGUCCAAAGCCUCUUG